GAGUUUGAUCAUGGCUCAGGAUGAACGCUGGCGGCGUGCUUAACACAUGCAAGUCGAACGAAGCGGGAAGAAAGAAGUUUUUCGAAAUGGAUUUUUUCUUUGCUUAGUGGCGGACGGGUGCGUAACACGUAGGUAACCUGCCCUGUGCUUGGGAAUAACUCCGGGAAACCGGUGCUAAUGCCGAAUAAUAUCGCCUGUCGGCAUCGAGAGGCGAUCAAAGAAUUUCGGCACAGGAUGGGCCUGCGCCGGAUUAGCUGGUUGGUGAGGUAACGGCUCACCAAGGCGACGAUCCGUAGCCGACCUGAGAGGGUGAUCGGCCACACUGGAACUGAGACACGGUCCAGACUCCUACGGGAGGCAGCAGUGGGGAAUAUUGCACAAUGGGGGAAACCCUGAUGCAGCAACGCCGCGUGAGCGAUGAAGGCUUUCGAGUCGUAAAGCUCUGUCCUAUGGGAAGAUGAUGACG
This 466-nucleotide ribosomal RNA is filed under the name Peptostreptococcaceae bacterium canine oral taxon 071. RNAcentral's name for it is "bacterial SSU rRNA". It matches the Rfam family "Bacterial small subunit ribosomal RNA", at positions 9 to 456 of the family's 1533-position model. The record is from RNAcentral. Lineage: Bacteria; Bacillati; Bacillota; Clostridia; Peptostreptococcales; Peptostreptococcaceae.